AGAGAAGAGUGACGUCCCCAACCGCCGGCAGCCCUAGGGAGAGUGAGAAUUCUGGUUCAGAGAAGAGUCUAGAUGCCAAGUCUAAAGCCUUGAAAUUGAAGGAAAUUCCUUCGAUAAGAAGGCAUUGGCCAUGUUUCAGAAUUACUAUGAGGAGAAAGCAAAGCGUGAGCACAAGGGCAAACAUUUUUUUUUAGUUACAACUUACUGCAUAAAAUGAAAUUUCAUUCUGGUCAUAGAGGGAAGGCACAAGGAGUGGGACAGAAACGGAAUUUCUAGUUGGACAAGCAAGACUAUCUAUUCAUUGCAGACUGCUCAGCUUCCCAUGCAUACAGAUCUCCAAAAAAUUGGAUAAGCUCAACUCAUAUAUUGUCUGGGGAGGGAGGGAUACUGAGCAGCAGAGGCAGAUCCACUUGGUUAACUGGGGUGAAGUAUGUAAAACUAAGGCUAAUGGAGGUAAGGGAAUCAAAAAGGAGAGAUGAUCAAUAAGCUAUGUUAGCCAAGGGAAGCUGGAGAUUGAUGCGUGGUAACCAUGGUCGAUCAUAAGUGUAUUAUAAGCUAUUUCGCAAAAAAGUUUGUUUAUUCAUAUUAAAAACCUCAACUCUGUUCUAGCUCUUGGUCUGGUGUUGUUCAUGGAGCCAAUUUGUUGAUGAAAGGUCUCAAAUCGAGGAUUGGUGAAUGAUGCUAAAGAUUUGUUUCUGGAAUGAUAAUUGCUGCUCUUUGUAAUUUAAUGCACCAAACAGGUAUGUAAUGGCUUUGAUAAACCUUAUUUAUUCCAGCAUGGAAUG
Molecule: RNA transcript, 785 nt
Organism: Fragaria vesca subsp. vesca
Lineage: Eukaryota; Viridiplantae; Streptophyta; Magnoliopsida; Rosales; Rosaceae
Exons: 2
Source: RefSeq, a predicted model, not a curated record